RNAcentral lists this ribosomal RNA (197 nucleotides) under uncultured Phascolarctobacterium sp. RNAcentral's name for it is "partial 16S ribosomal RNA". It matches the Rfam family "Bacterial small subunit ribosomal RNA", at positions 335 to 523 of the family's 1533-position model. The record is from RNAcentral. Lineage: Bacteria; Bacillati; Bacillota; Negativicutes; Acidaminococcales; Acidaminococcaceae.
ACCCCUACGGGGGGCAGCAGUGGGGAAUCUUCCGCAAUGGGCGAAAGCCUGACGGAGCAAUGCCGCGUGAGUGAAGAAGGGAUUCGUUCCGUAAAGCUCUUUUGUUUAUGACGAAUGUGCAUGUUGUGAACAAUGACGUGUAAUGACGGUAGUAAACGAAUAAGCCACGGCUAACUACGUGCCAGCAGCCGCGGUAA